GGGCGUGUGGCCUAGCCAGGAUAUGGCGGCAGCCUCCUAAGCUGUAAAUCAGGGGUUCAAAUCCCUUCACGCCCGCCA
Molecule: transfer RNA, 78 nt
Filed under: Methanococcoides methylutens
Lineage: Archaea; Methanobacteriati; Methanobacteriota; Methanomicrobia; Methanosarcinales; Methanosarcinaceae
Also listed under: 12 other names
Description: tRNA-Arg
Rfam family: tRNA
About the family: Transfer RNA (tRNA) molecules are approximately 80 nucleotides in length. Their secondary structure includes four short double-helical elements and three loops (D, anti-codon, and T loops).
Source: RNAcentral